RNAcentral lists this ribosomal RNA (765 nucleotides) under Kudoa islandica. RNAcentral's name for it is "eukaryotic LSU rRNA". It matches the Rfam family "Eukaryotic large subunit ribosomal RNA", at positions 1069 to 1760 of the family's 3401-position model. Lineage: Eukaryota; Metazoa; Cnidaria; Myxozoa; Multivalvulida; Kudoidae. The record is from RNAcentral.
ACCGGUGAGGGUGCCGUUUGCUUGUGUGAAACGGUACGUGGAAUGUCUUUGUCUCAAGUGGGCCAUUUUUGGUAAGCAGAACUGGCGAUGCGGGAUGAACCGAGAGUUGAGCUAAGGUGCCUAAGGACACGUUGAUAGAUACCACAAAAGGAGUCGGUCGAUAAAGACAGCAGGGCGGUGGCCCUGAAAGUAGGAAUCCGCUAAGGAGUGUCUAAAAACUCACCUGCCGAAUCGACCGGCCCUGAAAAUGGAUGGCGCUGAAGCGUGUCACCGAUGCUUGACCUUUACUACGAGAGAUGUUAGUAGAGGGUAGAAGGGCGCGGCGGUAGCAACAAAGUACAAAGUGUAAACUUGUAUGGAGCUGCCGUCGGUGUAGAUCUUGGUGGUAGUAGCAAUUAUAAAAGUGAAAACCUUUUAGGCCGAAGUGGAGAAGGGUUCCACGUGAACAGCAGUUGGACGUGGGUUAGUCGGUCCUAAGCGGUUGCCUAACGGCUAUUUCAACGCCAACUUAUGGUUGCGCUUGCGUGACAUAUUGUAGGUUGGAAUCCGCGAAAGGGAAUCAGGUUAAUAUUCCUGAACCGGGCGAUGGAGACGCUGCCUUUUGGCGCUGCUUGCACUUGUGUGGGUGGUGUUGAGGGUAGCUUAGCGGUAACGCAAACAAUCUCGGAGACGUUGACAUCUAUGGCGGAGAGAAUUAUCUUUUCUGUAUAACAGGUAGAGUACCUUGGAAUCGAGUCAUUCGGAGAUAAGGUAAAAAGCCUGGAA